CGUUUGUUGCUGUGUUAAUUACAGUUCUUCCCGGAGUCGGAGGCGAGAACAGCCCUUGUGGAACCGUUUCAAGUGGAACGUUCCACCAGGAGGAAAACAACUGCCUUCCUCCCCAUCUGGGCGGGAUUCCACCCCGCAGCUCUCGGCGAAAGCCGAGCCGGAGAUGUUGCUGAAUGUGCACAGGGUCGGGUCGUAUCGCUGGUGCUGGAGGAGUCAGGAUUCCUGGACACGGUGGCCCCGCUCCAGAGUCCACGGUGCAGCCCAGCCCUACGCGGCCUGUAAAGUGAUAACGUGUACUGGGGAUCGAACUCGGGUUCUUGCGCUUUCACAGCAGGCAGCGAAACCACUGAGCUAAAUCUCCGGCCCCAGCACCCUCCUUUUCUUCGUUGUGUGUUUCCCUUUUAUGCUCCUUGUUAUGAGGUGAACUGUGUCCUCCCAAAAUGCAUACGUGAAACCCUAUCUCCCAGCACCUCGGAUGUGACUGUAUUUGGUUGAUAGGGGCUUUAGAGAGGUGAUGAGGGUGAGCCCCAACCCAAUACUUAGAAUACUGGUGCCCUUCUAUGGAGAGACUGGACCGAAGAUAAACACAGAGGAAGUCACAUGAAGACACAGAAGGGUCAUCUGCGAGCCAUGGAGAGACCAAUUCUGAUGGCACCUUGGCCUUGGACUUCUGGCCUCCAGACUUAUGAGAAAGUUUUGUUGAGAAGCCACCCAUUCGUGGCACUUGGUUGUGGUCAUCUUUGAAAGCCAGUGACUCCUCCAGAGACUGUGCCCCUGGGCCACCAUCCAUCCAUGUGGAGCUGUGGGCCCUCCAUGCUGCCAGCUCACUCAGUGCCUACAUUUCACCAGGACUGUUUCCCACCCCUGGGCCUCUGCUUUGUUCUGGGUGGUGUUUGUUUUCAGAACUGUUGUUCCCUGAGAAUGGAUGAAGAGCACUGCUCUGUGUCUUGGGAGACUCCUGCAGUGGGGAGGGACUCUGGUGUCCAGGGCUGGGCUUGUGGGAGCCAGAGUGGUCAGAGACACCUCCCUGAGCUCAGUUCACAGCUGUCAGAGGACUGUUGAGCCACCUGUUCUCAGCACCAUCUCUGGCGGUGGAUUCCUCAUGUGCUGCCCUCUGUGAGCAUGCACAGAACAGAAAGAAAUGUGUUCCUCCUCACUAGCAAGGCAGGAAUGUGGGAUAUCAUUUCACUUAUAAUUCAUGCUUCUUCUUCUUCCUCUUUUUGAAAUUAAU
RNAcentral lists this long non-coding RNA (1231 nucleotides) under Heterocephalus glaber (naked mole-rat). RNAcentral describes it as "lncRNA (ENSHGLG00000029355.2)". The record is from RNAcentral. Lineage: Eukaryota; Metazoa; Chordata; Mammalia; Rodentia; Bathyergidae.